Molecule: ribosomal RNA, 479 nt
Filed under: uncultured bacterium
Lineage: Bacteria
Description: bacterial SSU rRNA
Rfam family: Bacterial small subunit ribosomal RNA
Source: RNAcentral
UGAACGCUAGCGGCAGGCCUAACACAUGCAAGUCGAGGGGUAACAGGAGAGCUUGCUCUCGCUGACGACCGGCGCACGGGUGCGUAACGCGUAUGCAAUCUACCUUCAACUGAGGGAUAGCCCGAGGAAACUCGGAUUAAUACCUCAUAAUUUUAGUUUUUGGCAUCAUUAACUAAUUAAAGCUCCGGCGGUUGAAGAUGAGCAUGCGUGACAUUAGUUUGUUGGUAAGGUAACGGCUUACCAAGGCUACGAUGUCUAGGGGUUCUGAGAGGAUGAUCCCCCACACUGGUACUGAGACACGGACCAGACUCCUACGGGAGGCAGCAGUGAGGAAUAUUGGUCAAUGGACGCAAGUCUGAACCAGCCAUGCCGCGUGCAGGAUGACGGCCUUAUGGGUUGUAAACUGCUUUUAUAUGGGAAUAAUUGCCACUACGUGUAGUGGUUUGCAUGUACCAUACGAAUAAGGAUCGGCUAACUCC